GAUGAACGCUAGCGGGAGGCCUAACACAUGCAAGCCGAGCGGCAGCAUUUUUUCGGCUUGGUGAGACCGGUGUACGGGUGCGUAACAGUGGUGCAACCUGCCUUUACCUGGGGUAUAGCCUUGCGAAAGGAAGAUAAAUAAUGCAUAAUACAUUGAACGCCAACGUGUAAUAUUGAAAGCUCGGUCGACUAUAGACGGGUACGCGUAAGAUUAGCGAGUUAGUGAGGUAACGGCGCACCAAGGCGCCGAUCUUUAGGGGGUCUGAGAGGGUGAUCCCCCACACUGGUACUGAGACACGGACCAGACUCCUACGGGAGGCAGCAGUGAGGAAUAUUGGUCAAUGGGUGCAAGCCUGAACCAGCCAUGUCGCGUGAAGGACGACUGCCCUAUGGGUUGUAAACUUCUUUUAUAUAGGGAUAAACCUACCCUCGAGAGCCUAGCUGAAGGUACUAUACGAAUAAGCACCGGCUAACUCCGUG
RNAcentral lists this ribosomal RNA (479 nucleotides) under uncultured bacterium. RNAcentral's name for it is "partial 16S ribosomal RNA". It matches the Rfam family "Bacterial small subunit ribosomal RNA", at positions 28 to 507 of the family's 1533-position model. The record is from RNAcentral.